This 643-nucleotide ribosomal RNA is filed under the name uncultured Pezizaceae. RNAcentral's name for it is "eukaryotic LSU rRNA". The stretch from base 231 to 384 matches the Rfam family "5.8S ribosomal RNA". The record is from RNAcentral. Lineage: Eukaryota; Fungi; Ascomycota; Pezizomycetes; Pezizales; Pezizaceae.
GUCAUUUAGAGGAAGUAAAAGUCGUAACAAGGUUUCCGUAGGUGAACCUGCGGAAGGAUCAUUAAAGAGAGCUUCGGCUCCUUUUAUGCUAUCACCACAUUGCUGUUCCUAUCCUCGUUGCUUCCACCCUUAAAGGGCGGGCAUAACGCCUGCCUGAUGAGGGUGGGGGGCUUUAUAAAUUUAUUUUUGCUUAGUGUUUUUGUCUGAAUAUUUUGGAAAAUGGCUUUUAAAACUUUCAACAACGGAUCUCUUGGCUCCUGCAUCGAUGAAGAACGCAGCGAAAUGCGAUAAUUAAUGUGAAUUGCAGAAUUCCGUGAAUCAUCGAGUCUUUGAACGCACAUUGCGCCCUAUGGUAUUCCGUAGGGCAUGCCCGUCUCAGCGUCAGUGAACUCCCAUCAAGCUUGUAGCAUUUUUUUUGCAAUAGCUUGGAUAGUGUCAGGGAAGUUGCAACUGCCUUGCAAGUUACAACUCCUUGGAAAUACAUGGAUACUCGCACCAUCAUGUGUGGAACGUGAUGUACAUUUCUUCGUUCCAAAAACAUUAGGUUGAGUUAUCCGAAAAUCCACAUAUGCCUUCUGGUAUAAAAUUCUUGACUUGACCUGAGAUCGGGUAGGGAUACCCGCUGAACUUAAGCAUAUCAAUA